Long non-coding RNA from Thalassophryne amazonica, 176 nucleotides. RefSeq lists it as uncharacterized. The record is from RefSeq and is a predicted model, not a curated record. The transcript is spliced from 3 exons. Lineage: Eukaryota; Metazoa; Chordata; Actinopteri; Batrachoidiformes; Batrachoididae.
CUUAUUUAUCAUUACGGCGAUGCAUCAACUCCUCAACUAAGACUGAACUAGAAGCUAGAUUGCCUGAUGUCUUAGCCUCACUUCUGACAAAUACCCAGCCAGUAGACAGAGUUGUGGAUAGUUUAAACUCACUGCCAGACUUUUGACACGAAGCAGAAAGUUUGACCACAUUACAC